CCCAGGUGCUAUCUAGCCCUACAUCCAGUGGAAAAGAAGAUUCAGACUGAGGAGGCUAGGGCUCCUUCUCUCAUGUUCCCCUGGAGCCCAUGGUAAAUGUUGAAGUAGGAGGCCAACAGGUCCAUUUCCUGGUGGACACCGGAGCUGAGAGUGGUCUGAUCCAGGUUCCAGCAACUGCGGCCAGCUGAUGUGGACCCAGCUGCCUCAAGGAUUCAAAAAUGCACCCACCCUGUUCAGUGACGCCCUCCCAUAGGGCUUGGUUUAGAAAACUGUUCACUUCCAAGUGCAAGCUACUCAACCCCUGCCCAGCUCUGCACUGUGCCACCCA
This is a long non-coding RNA of Fukomys damarensis (Damara mole-rat), 328 nucleotides long. RefSeq lists it as uncharacterized. Lineage: Eukaryota; Metazoa; Chordata; Mammalia; Rodentia; Bathyergidae. The transcript has 3 exons. The record is from RefSeq and is a predicted model, not a curated record.